Molecule: ribosomal RNA, 872 nt
Filed under: uncultured bacterium
Lineage: Bacteria
Description: bacterial SSU rRNA
Rfam family: Bacterial small subunit ribosomal RNA
Source: RNAcentral
GCGGCUGCCUACACAUGCAUGUCGCACGGUAGCACUGAGAGCUUGCUCUCGGCGUGAGGAGUGGCGGACGGGUGAGUAAUGUCUGGGAGACUGCCUGAUGGAGGGGGAUAACUACUAGGGAACGGUAGCUAAUACCGCAUAAUGUCGCAUGACCAAGGAGGGGGACCUUCGGGCCUCUUGCCAUCAGAUGUGCCCAGAUGGGAUUAUCUAGUAUGUGGGGUAACGGCUCACCUACGCCACGAUCCCUAGCUGGUCUGACAGGAUGACCAGCCACACUGGAACUGAAACACGGUCCGCACUCCUACGGUAGGCACCAUUGGGGAAUAUUGCUGAAUGGGCGCAGGCCUGAUGCAGCCAUGCGGCGUGUAUGAAGAAAGCCUUCGGGUUGUAUAGUACUUUCAACGGGGAGGAAGGUGUUGUGAUUAAUAAGCGCAGCAAUUGACGUUACCCGCAAAAGAUUGCCUGGUAACUCCAGCCAGCAACCACGGUAAUACGGAGGGUGAAGCGUUAAUGGAAUUCGGGGCGUAAUCGCAACAGGCGUCUGUCCUGUCGGAUGUUAAUCCAGGGCUCACCUGUGAAGUGCAUUCCAUCUGGCAGCUGGAGUCUUGGAUACGGCGGUAGAGUCCCGUGUACGUUGAUUGAGUAUAAUCUUGAGGAAACCUGUGGGGAGGCCGAUUCUGGAGAAGACUGAGACUCAGUGCUAAAGGGUGCGGAGUCCACAUGAAUAUAUACCCUGGUAUGCACACCAUGACUAUGUCCAUGUUUGGUUCUGCCCUUUAGCCUUGAUUCUGAUCUAUGCGUUGAUCCACCGUCUGCGGAGACUGCCUCAGAUUAAACUCAAUGACUGAUCGGGGGAAUCUACCCUCUAUCAA